RNAcentral lists this long non-coding RNA (399 nucleotides) under Oryza sativa (Asian cultivated rice). RNAcentral describes it as "long non-coding RNA (OSAT_LNC000966)". The record is from RNAcentral. Lineage: Eukaryota; Viridiplantae; Streptophyta; Magnoliopsida; Poales; Poaceae.
UAAUUUCAACAUAACAAAUAUAUUGUCAAAAUAUUUCAAUGCUAAAUUUAAUAAAUUAAUUUGGUGUUUUAGAUGCUACUAAGUUUUCUAUAAGUUUUGUCAAACUUAAAAAGUUUAAUUAGGAAAAAAAAUAAAAUAACUUAUAAUAUGAAAUGGAGCAAGUAUACUACGAUGACAGAGUCUAAGUUGUUUGACCGAUUUUAUUCCCUAUAAGAUAUACGGCAAAACUCAUGCCCUUCUGGUUUCAAAAAAUACAAUGAGAUGUCGCGUACAGCUAAAUUGAUUUUUUUUUCACUGAACUGAUAAUGAUCGAAAUGUUUUUCUUUUAUGAUAUAACGAGUUUAAGUUGAACUGACCUAUCAUUCUGCAGAGCUACCUGCCAGAUAAGACGCCAGAGGC